CAGCAGCCGCGGUAAUACCGGCGGCCCGAGUGGCGGUCACUAUUAUUGGGCUUAAAGCGUCCGUAGCCGGGUUGGGAAGUCCUCCGGGAAAUCUGGCCGCUUAACGGUCAGAAUGCCGGAGGAUACUCCCAGCCUAGGGAGCGGGAGAGGCCGAGGGGAUUCCCGGAGGAGGGGUGAAAUCCUAUAAUCCCGGGAGGACCACCUGUGGCGAAGGCGCUCGGCUGGAACGCGUCCGACGGUGAGGGACGAAGGCCAGGGGAGCAAACCGGAUUAGAUACCCGGGUAGUCCUGGCGGUAAACGAUGCGGACUUUGUGUCGGACAAGCUAUGAGCUUGUCCGGUGCCGGAGGGAAACCGUUAAGUCCGCCGCCUGGGGAGUACGGCCGCAAGGCUGAAACUUAAAGGAAUUGGCGGG
RNAcentral lists this ribosomal RNA (414 nucleotides) under uncultured microorganism. RNAcentral describes it as "bacterial SSU rRNA". It matches the Rfam family "Archaeal small subunit ribosomal RNA", at positions 459 to 872 of the family's 1478-position model. The record is from RNAcentral.